Molecule: long non-coding RNA, 499 nt
Filed under: Equus asinus (donkey)
Lineage: Eukaryota; Metazoa; Chordata; Mammalia; Perissodactyla; Equidae
Description: lncRNA (ENSEASG00005034202.1)
Source: RNAcentral
AGUCAUACGACUGAGCACACCACCAAUUGGUACGGCCGUAUGCUCUGUAUCAAAAGUGGGAAUGGGAGAGAAAUGAAUAUUUGCUUAAAAUGAAUCCAAACUAUCAAAAGACCUUUCCAAGAAGGAAAACUCAAGUGUUCAUUUCAGCUGAAAGGUUUGACCUCCAGCCUGCUUCUGUGUAAGAAUCAAUCAGUAACCAAUUUAGGUGAACUGGAUUUUCCAUCUUGUGGGCCCUGGUUCCUGGUUUCUUUUGCAACCAGAGUCUUGAAUCUGAGCAACUGUUCACUCUGGCCUCUGACCAGGAUCAGCAGAACUUAAGUCUACUCCAGCAGAAUGAGUGACCUAGGGACUUCUACGAAAAAAGGAUGUCAUAAAAAACUUUGUGAAAAAUGAAAUUUCUCUGCUUCUACUCUUAAAGUCUGUUCAUUUUGGAAACUAGGAAUUUUCUAGUAAAAAGAAAUUAAUGAAUAAAAUCAGCAAUUUCUAAUCUAUAUUUGUA